RNAcentral lists this ribosomal RNA (497 nucleotides) under uncultured bacterium. RNAcentral's name for it is "partial 16S ribosomal RNA". It matches the Rfam family "Bacterial small subunit ribosomal RNA", at positions 28 to 507 of the family's 1533-position model. The record is from RNAcentral.
GAUGAACGCUGGCGGCGUGCCUAAUACAUGCAAGUCGAGCGAACAGAUAAGGAGCUUGCUCCUUUGACGUUAGCGGCGGACGGGUGAGUAACACGUGGGUAACCUACCUAUAAGACUGGGAUAACUUCGGGAAACCGGAGCUAAUACCGGAUAACAUUUGGAACCGCAUGGUUCUAAAGUGAAAGAUGGUUUUGCUAUCACUUAUAGAUGGACCCGCGCCGUAUUAGCUAGUUGGUAAGGUAACGGCUUACCAAGGCGACGAUGCGUAGCCGACCUGAGAGGGGGAUCGGCCACCCGGGAACUGAGACACGGUCCAGACUCCUACGGGAGGCAGCAGUAGGGAAUCUUCCGCAAUGGGCGAAAGCCUGACGGAGCAACGCCGCGUGAGUGAUGAAGGGUUUCGGCUCGUAAAACUCUGUUAUUAGGGAAGAACAAAUGUGUAAGUAACUGUGCACGUCUUGACGGUACCUAAUCAGAAAGCCACGGCUAACUACGUG